This is a long non-coding RNA of Gorilla gorilla gorilla (western lowland gorilla), 499 nucleotides long. RefSeq lists it as uncharacterized. The transcript is spliced from 3 exons. Lineage: Eukaryota; Metazoa; Chordata; Mammalia; Primates; Hominidae. The record is from RefSeq and is a predicted model, not a curated record.
UGAACCUGAAAAACAGAAUGUCAGUGUGUUCUGUGAAUUUCCUGUGAUUUUCACCAGUGGAACACAUGCCCGGAACCAAGCUGAGUCCUUUCCAGAGCAUCCAUGUUAGAUGUGACUUGCUCCUCCUUGCCUUCCACCAUGAUUGUGAGGCCUCCCCAGCCACGUGGAACUCUAGGUGAAGUAGAAGACAAAAGCAGGCCAGGAACAGACUUCUUGAAUCUAUCUUAGAGCACUAGUAUCAUCUCCCUGAAGAACCCCCAGCCUGAAGACAGAAAGACUAAUAAGAGGGGACGACUCAGACCACAGGGAGCAGAAACAUAUCACAGUAAAGAAGCAAGAAUUUUUGCAAAAGCUGAGGCAGCCAUGGGUUCCAUUCUGAGGCUGAAAAAUCAAGGAAGAUUGUAUGACUCACCACUGUCAGUACUCAUGUAAUUUUCAAAAAGGCUCGCCAGGAGUCUGUUGGAAGACUUCUGAAAUACAGCUACCACUGUUUCAUUAA